UUUUGCGAUUGGCCAUCUCUGGCUGAUUCGACAUAUCUGUAGAAUCUCACCGCAGCAGGGUUGUUCUGCGAUGGUCGUUCGAGUUCGGCUGGAUCUCUGCUCAACAUAUGACAAAAGUAUAAGAAUUGAAUUCAAUGAUGAUCGUCGAAACAAUUAAAAUUUUCAACUGGUUAAUACAUCAUAAACAGGCGAAUAUUUUUGUCUGGUCACGUCGAAAUGCGUAAACAGGUUAAUAUGGCCAUGCUGCGUAUAAGGAGAUUUUGAAAGUAGGCAAGCAACAUUCUGCGACGACGGAAGAAGAUAGUACCUACGCCGAAUGCAGAGGUCAACUUUAAUGAUGAUGGCUGUGGUCUUGACUUGGAAUGCCCUUUAUUUACAAAGAGAUCGUUUUACCUACCAACUAAUUGUUUCAAGACACCUUUAGUGAUGUGAUUUGACCGAAUGAUGCGAUGUUACGGUUAUUAUUGGUGACCCUGUCUAUAUACGGAGGCGUGUCAGACAUCGGCUACCGGAAUGGAAUGGAAACUAGACGAAUGAUUCGUGAGUCGUGACGCUAGUUACAUAUCAAGCUGGAAUUUGCGGAAGCAAUUUUUUGAGACCAAUGUACAAAAUUUCAUGGAACUUGGAAUAAAAAUGAAAUUUAUCAGCUUUCGAUUCACGUGUAGAUAGAAGUGUGAUAUCAAGACUUUAAUAAUAGGAUUGCAUUUUUCAACCCAUCAGCAUGGUGUCUACCGGCCGAAAAAAAAUAUGAAAUUCGAAGAUGGGCUUGAAUAGCACAAAGAACCUCCAAAAUUCUUCAAAAUUUGCUAAAUGUUGGAAGUUUGUACGAAAUUUUGAAAGACACCAUGCAUCAGAGUGCCAGUACAUGUGUAGGUACAUGAGGCGACGUAAUGUGUUGAAAAAUCUCUCACGUAACUGGCCAAUUAACCGUGUGUGGGGCAUAGAUGAGAUGUGCAUGCCCUUCCGAAGGCGAUGGAACUGGACUGGAAGUCGUGAAAAUACAUCUCUCUAAAGUGAAGAAUGCAUCAUUUGUUUUCAUAGGUCACGAAAUAAUCAUAAGGUUGAAAUAACAUAGUCCUCGUGGUACAUACGAGUAUACAUAUAAAGCAGAGCAGUAGGUUUGUCGUGUGCGUAUAUUGAGAAGAAGAAGCUUGAAAAUAUUCGAGGUGCUUUUAACUCGUCGUCAGAUCGAGUGGAAAGCAUAUCUUGUUUGCUGGGCAGUACUGCUACUCCUUUGAGGAUAUUCAAGAAACAACGAGCCUGUACAAAAAAUUGAACGUAUAGAAUACGAUUGG
Planococcus citri (citrus mealybug) is the source of this 1295-nucleotide long non-coding RNA. RefSeq lists it as uncharacterized. The record is from RefSeq and is a predicted model, not a curated record. The transcript is spliced from 8 exons. NCBI's taxonomy places the organism in Eukaryota, Metazoa, Arthropoda, Insecta, Hemiptera, Pseudococcidae.